RNAcentral lists this long non-coding RNA (243 nucleotides) under Capsicum annuum. Its description in RNAcentral is "long non-coding RNA (CANN_LNC010436)". Lineage: Eukaryota; Viridiplantae; Streptophyta; Magnoliopsida; Solanales; Solanaceae. The record is from RNAcentral.
ACUCAUAUUAAGUCAGUUAGUUAUAGAGGCUUUUCAGACAUUAGAGUCAAUUAUUCAAUAUUCAGAUAAUACAAUUAGUGAUCCAAUUUAUCUUUAUUUUAUCAAAUUCAGUCAGUUAUUUCUAUAGACUCAUGUUUUAGUUAUUAAAACCUUAUGACAUAUCAUUAUUCUUCUGCAUUUAUGAUGAUGUUAUUCAGUGCUCAUAGCAGGUACUAGCUCAUGGGUUCACUUGUGGUCUCUCAG